Molecule: long non-coding RNA, 205 nt
Filed under: Elaeis guineensis (African oil palm)
Lineage: Eukaryota; Viridiplantae; Streptophyta; Magnoliopsida; Arecales; Arecaceae
Description: long non-coding RNA (EGUI_LNC042645)
Source: RNAcentral
GCAGCAGAAAUCAAAUUUUAGAAUUUUUAAAAACAAACAAAUCAAUUGCUUUAAUAGUUAAAACUAUCGAACCAAAAUCCAAACCCUAGAAUCACCUUGCUGAUGUCAAUCAAAACAAAAAUAAGCAUACAAAAAGAUAGAAUUUUAUGCUUUCACCAAAAAGUAAUAUGACACUAUGGUGAUCUCCACAAGACUUCAAAGUAGA